GAUGAACGCUAGCUACAGGCUUAACACAUGCAAGUCGAGGGGAAACGACAUCGAAAGCUUGCUUUUGAUGGGCGUCGACCGGCGCACGGGUGAGUAACGCGUAUCCAACCUGCCCAUCACUUGUGAAUAACCUUGCGAAAGUAAGACUAAUACCCAAUGACAUCCCACGAAGACAUCUGAAUGGGAUUAAAGAUUUAUCGGUGAUGGAUGGGGAUGCGUCUGAUUAGCUUGUUGGCGGGGUAACGGCCCACCAAGGCAACGAUCAGUAGGGGUUCUGAGAGGAAGGUCCCCCACAUUGGAACUGAGACACGGCCCAAACUCCUACGGGAGGCAGCAGUGAGGAAGAUUGGUCAAUGGGCGAGAGCCUGAACCAGCCAAGUAGCGUGCAGGAUGACGGCCCUAGGGGUUGUAAACUGCUUUUAUAAGGGAAUAAAGUGGGUCUCGGGAGACUUUUUGCAUGUACCUUAUGAAUAAGGACCGGCUAAUUCCGUG
This 492-nucleotide ribosomal RNA is filed under the name uncultured bacterium. RNAcentral's name for it is "partial 16S ribosomal RNA". It matches the Rfam family "Bacterial small subunit ribosomal RNA", at positions 28 to 507 of the family's 1533-position model. The record is from RNAcentral.